UGAAUCGUAUGAUCGGUGAUUUAUACAUGGGGUUGCAUAUUGAUUGAGUUUUGUAGAGUGAAACCAACGCAAUUAUUUUUAUAUUGAUAUCCUUCGGUAGAUAAACCGUAAAUAAAUUGGUAUGGCAAUGCAACUCUUUGAACCAAAAUCGUGUGCGGUGUGUUUUUAUUUUUAUUCAUUUUAUUAAAUGAGAGAUUGAAGAAUCAAAAUCGUUUACAAAUAUUGUUUUAAGAAUUUUGUCAAGCACAUGGUUUUAUAUAUGACUAGUUUUGUGUACUAGUUCUAUGUUCAAUUCAGUCAUAUAUUUUCUUGUUGAAAAUUCAAAUUGAUCAAAAGGCACUAUUUUUUAAACAAAAUUUCUUGAGGAAUUCGGUUGUUUGAUGCAUCAUAAUUCAC
Molecule: long non-coding RNA, 396 nt
Filed under: Trifolium pratense (red clover)
Lineage: Eukaryota; Viridiplantae; Streptophyta; Magnoliopsida; Fabales; Fabaceae
Description: long non-coding RNA (TPRA_LNC008495)
Source: RNAcentral